AUUGAACGCUGGCGGCAUGCCUUACACAUGCAAGUCGAACGGCAGCACGGGUGCUUGCACCUGGUGGCGAGUGGCGAACGGGUGAGUAAUACAUCGGAACGUACCUUAUCGUGGGGGAUAACGCAGCGAAAGCUGUGCUAAUACCGCAUACGCCCUGAGGGGGAAAGCGGGGGAUCGCAAGACUCCGCGCGAGUGGAGCGGCCGAUGCCUGAUUAGCUUGUUGGUGGGGUAAAAGCCCACCAAGGCGACGAUCAGUAGCUGGUCUGAGAGGACGAUCAGCCACACUGGGACUGAGACACGGCCCAGACUCCUACGGGAGGCAGCAGUGGGGAAUUUUGGACAAUGGGGGCAACCCUGAUCCAGCAAUGCCGCGUGAGUGAAGAAGGCCUUCGGGUUGUAAAGCUCUUUUGUCAGGGAAGAAACACCGGCUCUAACACAGUCCGGGAAUGACGGUACCUGAAGAAUAAGCACCGGCUAGCUACGUGCCAGCAGCCGCAGUAA
Molecule: ribosomal RNA, 501 nt
Filed under: uncultured bacterium
Lineage: Bacteria
Description: partial 16S ribosomal RNA
Rfam family: Bacterial small subunit ribosomal RNA
Source: RNAcentral